GGUUAAUCAUUAUUUGUUUUGAAAGCAAAGUUAAAAGUAAGUGUAUUUACUUAUUAAUCU
This 60-nucleotide transfer RNA is filed under the name Modiolus philippinarum. RNAcentral's name for it is "tRNA-Ser". Lineage: Eukaryota; Metazoa; Mollusca; Bivalvia; Mytilida; Modiolidae. The record is from RNAcentral.